AUGGCUCAGAGCGAACGCUGGCGGCAGGCUUAACACAUGCAAGUCGAGCGGGCCCUUCGGGGUCAGCGGCAGACGGGUGAGUAACACGUGGGAACGUACCCUUUGGUUCGGAAUAACGCUGGGAAACUAGCGCUAAUACCGGAUACGCCCUUUUGGGGAAAGGCUUGCUGCCGAAGGAUCGGCCCGCGUCUGAUUAGCUAGUUGGUGGGGUAAUGGCCUACCAAGGCGACGAUCAGUAGCUGGUCUGAGAGGAUGAUCAGCCACACUGGGACUGAGACACGGCCCAGACUCCUACGGGAGGCAGCAGUGGGGAAUAUUGGACAAUGGGCGCAAGCCUGAUCCAGCCAUGCCGCGUGAGUGAUGAAGGCCUUAGGGUUGUAAAGCUCUUUUGUCCGGGCCGAUAAUGACGG
RNAcentral lists this ribosomal RNA (410 nucleotides) under Methylobacterium sp. Ellin413. RNAcentral describes it as "bacterial SSU rRNA". It matches the Rfam family "Bacterial small subunit ribosomal RNA", at positions 19 to 457 of the family's 1533-position model. The record is from RNAcentral. Lineage: Bacteria; Pseudomonadati; Pseudomonadota; Alphaproteobacteria; Hyphomicrobiales; Methylobacteriaceae.